This 1719-nucleotide ribosomal RNA is filed under the name Salmonella enterica. RNAcentral describes it as "partial 23S ribosomal RNA". It matches the Rfam family "Bacterial large subunit ribosomal RNA", at positions 587 to 2290 of the family's 2925-position model. The record is from RNAcentral. Lineage: Bacteria; Pseudomonadati; Pseudomonadota; Gammaproteobacteria; Enterobacterales; Enterobacteriaceae.
UUGGGUGUGACUGCGUACCUUUUGUAUAAUGGGUCAGCGACUUAUAUUCUGUAGCAAGGUUAACCGAAUAGGGGAGCCGGAGGGAAACCGAGUCUUAAUUGGGCGUUAAGUUGCAGGGUAUAGACCCGAAACCCGGUGAUCUAGCCAUGGGCAGGUUGAAGGUUGGGUAACACUAACUGGAGGACCGAACCGACUAAUGUUGAAAAAUUAGCGGAUGACCUGUGGCUGGGGGUGAAAGGCCAAUCAAACCGGGAGAUAGCUGGUUCUCCCCGAAAGCUAUUUAGGUAGCGCCUCGUGAAUUCAUCUCCGGGGGUAGAGCACUGUUUCGGCUAGGGGGCCAUCCCGGCUUACCAACCCGAUGCAAACUGCGAAUACCGGAGAAUGUUAUCACGGGAGACACACGGCGGGUGCUAACGUCCGUCGUGAAGAGGGAAACAACCCAGACCGCCAGCUAAGGUCCCAAAGUCAUGGUUAAGUGGGAAACGAUGUGGGAAGGCCCAGACAGCCAGGAUGUUGGCUUAGAAGCAGCCAUCAUUUAAAGAAAGCGUAAUAGCUCACUGGUCGAGUCGGCCUGCGCGGAAGAUGUAACGGGGCUAAACCAUGCACCGAAGCUGCGGCAGCGACACUGUGUGUUGUUGGGUAGGGGAGCGUUCUGUAAGCCUGUGAAGGUGUGUCGUGAGGCAUGCUGGAGGUAUCAGAAGUGCGAAUGCUGACAUAAGUAACGAUAAAGCGGGUGAAAAGCCCGCUCGCCGGAAGACCAAGGGUUCCUGUCCAACGUUAAUCGGGGCAGGGUGAGUCGACCCCUAAGGCGAGGCCGAAAGGCGUAGUCGAUGGGAAACGGGUUAAUAUUCCCGUACUUGGUGUUACUGCGAAGGGGGGACGGAGAAGGCUAUGUUGGCCGGGCGACGGUUGUCCCGGUUUAAGCGUGUAGGUGUGUGUUCCAGGUAAAUCCGGUUCACUUUAACACUGAGGCGUGACGACGAGGCACUACGGUGCUGAAGCAACAAAUGCCCUGCUUCCAGGAAAAGCCUCUAAGCAUCAGGUAACAUCAAAUCGUACCCCAAACCGACACAGGUGGUCAGGUAGAGAAUACCAAGGCGCUUGAGAGAACUCGGGUGAAGGAACUAGGCAAAAUGGUGCCGUAACUUCGGGAGAAGGCACGCUGACACGUAGGUGAAGUGAUUUACUCAUGGAGCUGAAGUCAGUCGAAGAUACCAGCUGGCUGCAACUGUUUAUUAAAAACACAGCACUGUGCAAACACGAAAGUGGACGUAUACGGUGUGACGCCUGCCCGGUGCCGGAAGGUUAAUUGAUGGGGUCAGCGCAAGCGAAGCUCCUGAUCGAAGCCCCGGUAAACGGCGGCCGUAACUAUAACGGUCCUAAGGUAGCGAAAUUCCUUGUCGGGUAAGUUCCGACCUGCACGAAUGGCGUAAUGAUGGCCAGGCUGUCUCCACCCGAGACUCAGUGAAAUUGAACUCGCUGUGAAGAUGCAGUGUACCCGCGGCAAGACGGAAAGACCCCGUGAACCUUUACUAUAGCUUGACACUGAACAUUGAGCCUUGAUGUGUAGGAUAGGUGGGAGGCUUUGAAGUGUGGACGCCAGUCUGCAUGGAGCCGACCUUGAAAUACCACCCUUUAAUGUUUGAUGUUCUAACGUGGACCCGUUACCCGGGUUGCGGACAGUGUCUGGUGGGUAGUUUGACUGGGGCGGUCUCCUCC